This 538-nucleotide ribosomal RNA is filed under the name uncultured Agrobacterium sp. RNAcentral describes it as "bacterial SSU rRNA". It matches the Rfam family "Bacterial small subunit ribosomal RNA", at positions 66 to 650 of the family's 1533-position model. The record is from RNAcentral. Lineage: Bacteria; Pseudomonadati; Pseudomonadota; Alphaproteobacteria; Hyphomicrobiales; Rhizobiaceae.
ACGAACCCUUCGGGGUUAGUGGCGCACGGGUGCGUAACGCGUGGGAACCUGCCUUUAGGUUCGGAAUAACAGUGAGAAAUUACUGCUAAUACCGGAUAAUGUCUUCGGACCAAAGAUUUAUCGCCUUUAGAUGGGCCCGCGUUGGAUUAGCUAGUUGGUGGGGUAAAGGCCUACCAAGGCGACGAUCCAUAGCUGGUCUGAGAGGAUGAUCAGCCACACUGGGACUGAGACACGGCCCAGACUCCUACGGGAGGCAGCAGUGGGGAAUAUUGGACAAUGGGCGAAAGCCUGAUCCAGCAAUGCCGCGUGAGUGAUGAAGGCCUUAGGGUUGUAAAGCUCUUUUACUGGGGAUGAUAAUGACAGUACCCAGAGAAUAAGCUCCGGCUAACUCCGUGCCAGCAGCCGCGGUAAUACGGAGGGAGCUAGCGUUGUUCGGAAUUACUGGGCGUAAAGCGCACGUAGGCGGCUUUUUAAGUCAGGGGUGAAAUCCCGGGGCUCAACCCCGGAACUGCCCUUGAAACUGGGAAGCUAGAAUCUU